AUGGGGAGGCCGAGCUGCGCGGCGGCUGCGCUGCUGCUCGCUUGCCUCAGUUUCAGUCUUGGCACCUGCAGCUCCGAUGCUCAGCGAGGAUGGGUGAACAACCGGGAGGAAGAUGCACGCCCCGCAGACCGGCGGGUAGUCCAAGAGGUACACAUCCGAGAAGCUCUGCCACAACCAACCAGGUACAGGUCCAAGCAGUCCACAACGUUCCCGCAGUGGCCACCCUGGCCAUGGGCACCGGCACCGACGCCGACGACGAGUUCUCCGCCGUUGCAGGGUGCUGGAUCCCCGUCAAGCGCCCCCGCACCGUCGCCGGAAGUCGCCAAGCCUCUGGCGGUGCCGCCUCGGGAUGUCGAGAAGCCUGCGCACAGCAUCACGGUGCCACCGACGCCAGCGACGGUGGCCCACGGCGCUGCGGCGGUCGGAGAAACGUCGACUGAGGCGGCGGGGCAUGCUCCUACCAGGCGGCGUAUCUAUGUCAUCGCCGGAGCAGGAGCUUCCCUCCUUGUGGCCAUUUCAGCGGCACUGUUCGUCCUGUGCUACCGGUCCAAUAAGGUGGUCACCGUCAGGCCGUGGGCCACCGGCCUCAGCGGGCAGCUGCAGAAAGCGUUCGUGACAGGCGUGCCGGCGCUCAAGAGGUCGGAGCUCCAGGCGGCCUGCGAAGAUUUCAGCAACGUCAUCGGCUGCCUGUCGGAUUACAUGAUGUACAAGGGGACGCUGUCGAGCGGCGUCGAGAUCGCCGUCAUAUCGACGACGAAGAAGUCCGGCAAGGAGUGGUCCAAGCACUGCGAAACACAGUUCAGGAAAAAGAUAACAAGCCUGUCCAGAGUUAACCACAAGAACUUUGUGAACCUGCUGGGCUACUGCCAGGAAGAGCAGCCAUUCACAAGGAUGAUGGUGUUCGAGUAUGCUCCCAACGGCACUCUCUUCGACCAUCUCCAUGUGAGGGAAGACGGUCACCUGGACUGGCCGACCCGGCUGCGGGUGGCGGUGGGGAUCGCCUACUGCCUGGAGCACAUGCACCAGCUGAGCCCGCCGGAGAUCCUGAAGACGCUCGACACGUCCACCGUGUACCUGACCGACGAUUUCGCGGCCAAGAUCGCAGACGUCUUCUUCUGCUCCGAUGACGCCUCGUCGACAAGGGCGGAGAUGGCGAGCCUGCAGUCCCUCCUGGCGCUGUCCGACAGGGAGAGCGUCGUGUACAGCUACGGCAUGGUGCUGCUGGAGAUCAUGUCCGGCAGGUUCACGGCGUCGGCCGGCGGCCUGCUGGAGGGCUGGGCGGCGAGCUUCCUCCGUGGGGAGAGGCAGCUGAGGGACGUGAUGGACCCUGACCUGAGCUGGAACGCGCCCCUCCAUGCCGAGACCGUCAACAGGCUGGACGGUGUGAUUCGGUCCUGCACCGACCGGGAGGCGAGGCGGCGACCCGCCAUGGCAGAGGUGGCGAGGCGGCUGAGGGAGAUCACGGCCAUGCCGCCGGACGCCGCCACCCCCAAGGUGUCGCCCCUGUGGUGGGCGGAGCUGGAGAUCAUCUCCACCGAGGCCACCUGA
Molecule: ribosomal RNA, 1548 nt
Filed under: Triticum aestivum (bread wheat)
Lineage: Eukaryota; Viridiplantae; Streptophyta; Magnoliopsida; Poales; Poaceae
Description: partial small subunit ribosomal RNA
Source: RNAcentral